UUAAACUAUAAACAUCGUACAUUUUGCUUUGGCUUGUGUUGUCAAAUCGGCAUUACUGCCAGUAAUGGCCAUUUAAUAUCAGGUUCAACAUGGACACGAUUGAUUUCAUUCAAGAUAGAGCACUUGUCGACUGGAAAUCCAAUCAAGAAAACCCUGACCCUCAAGCAGCUACUGUAUUCGACCAGCUCACACCAGCUAGGCCUCCUCCAAAACUCAGAUAAAUAUUUGAGCCACCAAAAAAAAAACGAGAACAGAUCGGUCUUAAUCGUUAAGAACUGAAGCUAACAUCAUAGAGGUACAUCCUUCCAAGAAUCCAUCAAAACAACAUGCUGAACAACUUCAAGAACUCUCUUCAAAAGACCACACUUUUCUGAAAUAAAUAAAAGAUGCCAGUAUUAAAAUAAAUCAGUUACAUGUAUUGUUAAAUAUUUUAAUACUAGCUGUAAAUGCUACUGCCUUUGAUGUUUGCUUCCUACAUGUAUAUCAUAAUGAAAUAUUGACAAGAUAAUAGCUAAUGUUUUGUGGUUGUUGUUUUUCUCUGGACAAAUAGUCCAUUACUUGUGUACAGCAAAGUAAAACUAAAUGUUAUAAAAAGCUUUAA
Long non-coding RNA from Mya arenaria, 601 nucleotides. RefSeq lists it as uncharacterized. Lineage: Eukaryota; Metazoa; Mollusca; Bivalvia; Myida; Myidae. The record is from RefSeq and is a predicted model, not a curated record. The transcript is spliced from 3 exons.